Molecule: ribosomal RNA, 257 nt
Filed under: uncultured bacterium
Lineage: Bacteria
Description: partial 16S ribosomal RNA
Rfam family: Bacterial small subunit ribosomal RNA
Source: RNAcentral
GUCCGCACCGUAAACGAUGAUCACUCGUUGUUGGCGAUACACAGUCAGCGACUAAGCGAAAGCAUUAAGUGAUCCACCUGGGAAGUACGACCGCAAGGUUGAAACUCAAAGGAAUUGACGGGGGCCCGCACAAGCGGAGGAGCAUGUGGUUUAAUUCGAUGGUACGCGAGGAACCUUACCUGGGCUUGAAAGACAGUUGACCGUCUCUGAAAGGAGACUUUCGCAAGACAACUGUCUAGGUGCUGCAUGGCUGUCGU